GGGAGGGGAAGAGGGCGCACGGUUGGGUUGCGACCCGUGGCGGUGAGGACAGGACAG
Choloepus hoffmanni (Hoffmann's two-fingered sloth) is the source of this 57-nucleotide non-coding RNA. The record is from Rfam. Lineage: Eukaryota; Metazoa; Chordata; Mammalia; Pilosa; Megalonychidae.